Molecule: transfer RNA, 72 nt
Filed under: Phrynosoma platyrhinos (Desert horned lizard)
Lineage: Eukaryota; Metazoa; Chordata; Lepidosauria; Squamata; Phrynosomatidae
Description: tRNA-OTHER
Rfam family: tRNA (bases 9-72)
About the family: Transfer RNA (tRNA) molecules are approximately 80 nucleotides in length. Their secondary structure includes four short double-helical elements and three loops (D, anti-codon, and T loops).
Source: RNAcentral
GUCAGCAUGGAAUAGUGGCUUGAGUGUUGGACUAUGACUCCAGAGACCAGGGUUCAAUUCCCAGCUCAGCCA